GUGUGCAGUUAUACCACCCUGAACACACCCGAUCUCUUCUGAUCUCGGAAGCUAAGCAAGGUUGGGCCUGGUUAGUACUUGGAUGGGAGAAGUGGCUCAAAUGGUAGAAUGCCUACC
RNAcentral lists this ribosomal RNA (117 nucleotides) under Castor canadensis (American beaver). Lineage: Eukaryota; Metazoa; Chordata; Mammalia; Rodentia; Castoridae. The record is from RNAcentral.